RNAcentral lists this ribosomal RNA (903 nucleotides) under uncultured bacterium. RNAcentral's name for it is "bacterial SSU rRNA". It matches the Rfam family "Bacterial small subunit ribosomal RNA", at positions 28 to 916 of the family's 1533-position model. The record is from RNAcentral.
AACGAACGCUGGCGGCAGGCUUCAUACAUGCAAGUCGAGCGAUUAAAGCUCCUUCGGGAGUGUAUAAAGCGGCGAACGGGUGAGUAACAGGUGGACAACCUGCCUCUUGGUGGGGGACAACGGCCGGAAACGGCCGCUAAUACCGCACGUGGUUACUAGGGCCUCGGCCCCGGUAAAGAAAGGCGCUUCACGGCGCCGCCAAGAGAUGGGUCCGCCCCCCAUUAGCUAGUUGGUGAGAUAACAGCUCACCAAGGCAACGAUGGGUAGCCGAGCUGAGAGGUUGAUCGGCCACACUGGAACUGAGACACGGUCCAGACACCUACGGGUGGCAGCAGUAGGGAAUAUUGCGCAAUGGGCGAAAGCCUGACGCAGCCAUGCCGCGUGAGUGAUGAAGGCCUUCGGGUCGUAAAGCUCUUUUCUGAGGGAAGAAAACCGGUGGAGGAAAUGCCCCCGGCUUGACGGUACCUCAGGAAUAAGGAACGGCUAACUCCGUGCCAGCAGCCGCGGUAAUACGGAGGUUCCAAGCGUUGUUCGGAUUUACUGGGCGUAAAGGGAGCGCAGGCGGAUCGGUCAGUGGAAAGUGGAAGCCCGGGGCUUAACCUCGGAAGUGCUUUCCAUACUGCCGGUCUUGAGUUCGUGAGAGGAAAGCGGAAUUCAGGGUGUAGCGGUGAAUGCUUAGAUAUCCUGAGGAACACCAAUGGCGAAAGCAGCUUUCUGGCACGAUACUGACGCUGAGGCUCGAAAGCGUGGGUAGCGAACGGGAUUAGAUACCCCGGUAGUCCACGCCGUAAACGUUGUCAACUAGGUGCAGGAGGUAUCGACCCCCCCUGUGCCGCAGCUAACGCACUAAGUUGACCGCCUGGGGAGUACGCGCGCAAGCGUGAAACUCAAAGGAAUUGACGG